GCCUAAUACAUGMAGUCGAGCGAACCGACGGGAGCUUGCUCCUUAGGUUAGCGGCGGACGGGUGAGUAACACGUGGGUAACCUGCCUGUAAGACUGGGAUAACUCCGGGAAACCGGGGCUAAUACCGGAUGCUUGAUUGAACCGCAUGGUUCAAUUAUAAAAGGUGGCUUUUAGCUACCACUUACAGAUGGACCCGCGGCGCAUUAGCUAGUUGGUGAGGUAACGGCUCACCAAGGCGACGAUGCGUAGCCGACCUGAGAGGGUGAUCGGCCACACUGGGACUGAGACACGGCCCAGACUCCUACGGGAGGCAGCAGUAGGGAAUCUUCCGCAAUGGACGAAAGUCUGACGGAGCAACGCCGCGUGAGUGAUGAAGGUUUUCGGAUCGUAAAACUCUGUUGUUAGGGAAGAACAAGUACCGUUCGAACAGGGCGGURCCUUGACGGUACCUAACCAGAAAGCCACGGCUAACUACGUGCCAGCAGC
RNAcentral lists this ribosomal RNA (486 nucleotides) under Bacillus sonorensis. Its description in RNAcentral is "bacterial SSU rRNA". It matches the Rfam family "Bacterial small subunit ribosomal RNA", at positions 46 to 515 of the family's 1533-position model. The record is from RNAcentral. Lineage: Bacteria; Bacillati; Bacillota; Bacilli; Caryophanales; Bacillaceae.